This 500-nucleotide ribosomal RNA is filed under the name uncultured Glomeromycotina. RNAcentral describes it as "partial small subunit ribosomal RNA". It matches the Rfam family "Eukaryotic small subunit ribosomal RNA", at positions 591 to 1092 of the family's 1831-position model. The record is from RNAcentral. Lineage: Eukaryota; Fungi; Glomeromycota.
CCAAUAGCGUAUAUUAAAGUUGUUGCAGUUAAAAAGCUCGUAGUUGAAUUUCGGGGUUAGUAGGUUGGUCAUGCCUCCGGUAUGUACUGGUCUCACUGAUUCUUCCUUCCUGAUGAACCGUAAUGCCAUUAAUUUGGUGUUUCGGGGAAUUUGGACUGUUACUUUGAAAAAAUUAGAGUGUUUAAAGCAGGCUAACGCUUGAAUACAUUAGCAUGGAAUAAUGAAAUAGGACGUUCGAUCCUAUCUUGUUGGUUUCUAGGAUUGACGUAAUGAUUAAUAGGGAUAGUUGGGGGCAUUAGUAUUCAAUUGUCAGAGGUGAAAUUCUUGGAUUUAUUGAAGACUAUCUACUGCGAAAGCAUUUGCCAAGGAUGUUUUCAUUAAUCAAGAACGAAAGUUAGGGGAUCGAAGACGAUCAGAUACCGUCGUAGUCUUAACCAUAAACUAUGCCGACUAGGGAUCGGAUGAUGUUAAUUUUUUAAUGACUCAUUCGGCGCCUUACG